Aphidius gifuensis is the source of this 516-nucleotide long non-coding RNA. RefSeq lists it as uncharacterized. The transcript has 3 exons. The record is from RefSeq and is a predicted model, not a curated record. NCBI's taxonomy places the organism in Eukaryota, Metazoa, Arthropoda, Insecta, Hymenoptera, Braconidae.
UAAUUUAUAAUAUACACAAACGCAAAUUCAUGUACUUGCAAUAAUAUUGAAGUACGCAUAUUCCUGGAAUUAAUCAUUAAGCACAUGCGCAAAUUUAUCAUAGUGCUCCAAAAAUAAUAAAGUUUGAAAAUUAUUAAAAUGAUGAAAAAAAAAUAAACAUUUAGAAGAAAUAAUUAUUAUUAUUUUGUUGUUGUUGGAUAAUUUGAUUUUUGAUAUGUUUUUUAUAUGGAUAAUAUAAUUUAAUGAGAUAAAAAAUUCCAAGAAUUUGGGAUACUUGGUGCUGGAAGAGACACUGGACAAACCAGAAUAAAGCUUCAAAAGAAACUGAAAAAAAAAUCUAAAUAAAAAUUUCUAUUAUUCACUACUGUCAAAGUUUCUAAAAAUAAAUUGAAAUAAAUCCUCAAUAAAUACGAAGGAUUGUUGUUGUGAAAUUGGAGUUUACAAAAUGACAGAUCCAUCAUUGAAAAUUCAUAAAUAUGUGAAUAUGGAAAAAGGUGAAAUACAAAAUGGAAAAAU